AUUGAACGCUGGCGGCAUGCCUUACACAUGCAAGUCGAACGGCAGCACGGGUGCUUGCACCUGGUGGCGAGUGGCGAACGGGUGAGUAAUACAUCGGAACAUGUCCUGUAGUGGGGGAUAGCCCGGCGAAAGCCGGAUUAAUACCGCAUACGAUCUACGGAUGAAAGCGGGGGACCUUCGGGCCUCGCGCUAUAGGGUUGGCCGAUGGCUGAUUAGCUAGUUGGUGGGGUAAAGGCCUACCAAGGCGACGAUCAGUAGCUGGUCUGAGAGGAUGACCAGCCACACUGGGACUGAGACACGGCCCAGACUCCUACGGGAGGCAGCAGUGGGGAAUUUUGGACAAUGGGCGCAAGCCUGAUCCAGCAAUACCGCGUGUGUGAAGAAGGCCUUCGGGUUGUAAAGCACUUUUGUCCGGAAAGAAAAGCUGCAGCCUAAUACGGUGGGGGGAUGACGGUACCGGAAGAAUAAGCACCGGCUAACUACGUG
This 486-nucleotide ribosomal RNA is filed under the name uncultured bacterium. Its description in RNAcentral is "partial 16S ribosomal RNA". It matches the Rfam family "Bacterial small subunit ribosomal RNA", at positions 30 to 507 of the family's 1533-position model. The record is from RNAcentral.